Pipra filicauda (Wire-tailed manakin) is the source of this 988-nucleotide long non-coding RNA. RefSeq lists it as uncharacterized. The transcript has 2 exons. The record is from RefSeq and is a predicted model, not a curated record. Lineage: Eukaryota; Metazoa; Chordata; Aves; Passeriformes; Pipridae.
AGGCACCGCGGGACAGCCGCGGGCGGUGCUGCGGGGCCGCUCCCGCACUAAGGCUCGGCCUCGGGAGCAGCCGCUCCCAGCCCCGCACGGGGCCCGGCAGCGCUCGGCGAGGAACCCCCGUUCCAGUCUCCGAGGAGCGAACGCGGCCGUUUCACACAUCUCCGCGGUUACAAGAUCCGGAUGUGCCUCCAGUUACAAGAAAAAAAAACCGCCGAGGAAGGGAAUCCAACUAGAGUCAGAAAGAAAAAAAAAAAAGCAGGAGGCGAAGGACGCCAGAGCCCCUGAGGUGCCCUCACGACCCUCCCGGGAGCGCAGCGAGCCGGGGGCUGUGAAGGACAGUCCUGACGGGGAAGGGCACAGACCCGGAGCAGACCCCCUGCGGGACCCCCCGCACCCCCAGAGCCGCCCCCGUCCUUACCGGCGAGGUUCAGCGCGGCCCUGGCCACGGGGAACAUGGUGCGAGCGGAGCGCGUACCCUUCACGGCGCUGAAGAACAAAAUGGUCGCGGCGGAAGUGGCGGCGGGCGGGGGCCUGUGGGUAACGCCGAGCUCCUCCUCGCGGCGGCCGCAGCUCCGCGGCCGCGACAAAGAGCGCGGUUACCCGGCGGCUCCGCGGCACCUCCCCGGCACGGACGGGCUGUCCGUAAGGGGCCGGAGGACACAGAAACGGGCGCGGCCUUGAGAAGCGUGGUAAGGGAGUCCCGGUGGACGCUGCUAUUGCAGUGUCAGGAUGGCCGAGUGGUCUAAGGCGCCAGACUCAAGGCGUUCCGCGCCUUCCCGCCGCGGGUUUGGGUGUUCUGGUCUCCGUAUGGAGGCGUGGGUUCGAAUCCCACUUCUGACACCACUUUUUGUUUCCUAUUUUUAAGGUGUGAAUUUAAACACAUGAAAGUGCCGAACUGCUAAAGCCAAGGAUCUUAGUGCGAAUAGAAAUCAGAAAUAAUUUUCAGAAUGUGCUCGAAUAGACAAAUAAAAGCCGAAGCAUGAGUAAA